CCACCGUCUCUGGGACUGGGGUGGGAAGGAGAUGACGGGGGCAGCCCAGACUCCUCAGCUCCAGACCCUGAGUCAGGGGACCCUGAGGGCCUUGGCAGGAAGUGACCCGGAGCCUCACGUACAACGGAAGGAAACUGAGGUACUCGCAGGCUCAGGCUGUCAGCCGCUGUGCUACGCCUAGGCCCAGGCUCCACGGUGUCCUCCAACAGCCCCAGGGGAGCAGGCAAGGCCGACUCGGAGACGGAGACGCAGCUGGAGGCCACAGCACCAGUUAAUGGGGAGCAGGCAGCAGCUGACCAGACGCCAGAGCAGGCGGCUUAGGCCUGUCCCCUGCAGGAGGAGGAGGAUGGACGAGGGGCCUGGGUCAGCUCCAUGUUCAGCCCCCUGGGUGGCCCAGGGCAGCUUGCAGAAGCCCAGCCCAGCCCCGCCCAGCAACCUGCAGGUACCAGGUCCAGCCAGAGAGGACGCCAGGCCAGCCACCAGGCAACAAUAAACGUCCCGUUUCAGAUUCUCACGGCAGGGCUGGGGAGGAGGCGCCACCGUAGAGCACGUGCCCAGCGUGCAGGGGGCCCUGGGUUUGAUCCAGCACCACCCACCCCGCCCCCCACCCAGAUCUCACCUGUUCAGGAAGGGGAUCCGGGAGAGUCCUGCGGUGUGAGGCCUGGAUGGAGCCUGAGGAGUGGAGACGCGGGGCCUGGGGUAGCUGGAUAACAGAUGCCCCAGAGCGCAAAGUGGACAGGCCUGCGGCCAGGCCAGGCAGGUCAGCGUGGAGAUGAGCUGGGUCUGGUUUGUCCAGAGCUGAGGGCAGCCACUGAUCCUGGCUCUCCCAGCGACCCCCAAUGGACUAUGGGCCUUCCCAGCCAGGGGCCUUCCUCCUGCCCCAGAGGCCUCAAGGUGGCCGACCCCAACGUCCCCACUGGGAAGAAGACCCACCAGGAGCGACUGGUGCCAGGCGCUGACGCUUCAUCAAGUUCUGUGGUCAGAUAAUAAAACUGAGGCUCAGAGAGACGAGGGAUCUGCCCAGGGUCACAGAUCCAGUGCAGGGCUGAGUUUGAACUCAGUGUACUGGACACUGUCCUUGUGGCUGACCGCACCUUGGAAGUGGCAGAGACCACAGAGACUGGAAGAUAGCUGGUGAGGUCAGUGUCGGGCCCUGGUGACCCCGCCCUUGGGGCAGUGGCUUCAGUGCUGAGCAGGCAGCUUCUUAACGGGUCUGUGGUGAGCCAUUGACAGAGGAGGAGACUGAGGCUCAGAGUGGGGAGGUGACCAUCUUGGUCGUGGCCUGAGCCCUCCCGUGGGCCUGGCACUGGGUGUGUUCAGUGAAUGGUGACCCCCUAGGAAGGGCCAGCUGAGGAGGUGGAGACCUGGGUUGGGGUGGGAACAGGAGCAGGGACACCAGGAUAAUCAAACGGACAGUGGGCCUGGGACCCAGGACUUGGGGCUCCUGGCCCUGCCCCUCACGGCGCCCCAGACAUUCCUGAGGGGCCUGGGCCGUGGGAAGACCCUGCGUCUAUCCCAUCAGGCCUCACGGAGGUCCUGCCCCAACCAACAGGAAGUGCCAGGCAGACCCCACCCCCACCAGGCCGUGGGAAGCGCUGGGACUGCAGGGCUCCCAGCUCGCGCAGCCUCAGUGGGGCUGUGUGACCUUGGGCAAGGCCUUUGCCCUCUCUGGGCUUUGCUCUCCCCAUUUCUAGUCACAGGCUCCAGGACAGAGAUGCUGUGCCACCUCUGGAUGUGUGACCUUGGGCAGUGGCCGGGCCCCUCUGAAGCCUAGCUCCCUCUUUUGCACCUGGGGGACAGUGCCCACACCUGGGGGACAGUGCCCACGGUGCAUGCUCUCUCCCGGGAGCCAGGGUCAUCCCACUCAGAGCGUCCGGAGUGACCUCGGGGCCCUCUGGCAAGGCGCCAGCUUCCUGGGCUCAGGACCACGCGGCUGUCUCCCCACCUCACUCCCCUCCGUGAAGGAGGCAGAGCCGGGAUCUGGGCCACUUCUGUGUGGCCCUGGGGAUCCUCUGGCAGGAGCAGGGAGGUGGUGGGACCCUGCACAGGACCUGCAGCUGCGGCUCCUGGUCAGUGUCUCCUUCCUGUGAGGGAGGACAAGCUGGACGUGGCAGAGGGAGACGGUGGUCAGGACUGGACCCCACCUCCUGGGGGCAUGCAGAGCGCUAAGUGGGGACAGGGUGGCGGGAGGUGGGCCUGGAGUGUGGGUGCUGUGGCUCCGUUCCCUCUUUAGGGUCCUCCAGGCGAAGAAGCUGUGCUCUAGGUGUCGGCCUUCUGGGCCUGGUCCCCACACCUUCCCAGCCGGAGUCGUCUCAGCAAGCCACAACCCCACGGAGGUGGAUGAGCCUGGAAGAUCAGAGAAGCUCAGCGACUUGCCUGAGGUCACACAGCAGUGUGGCAGAUGCCUCCCAGGCCUUCCCUGGGAACCUCUGAAGUCCCAAGUGUGAGUGGAAGGAAGCCACCUGCCACUUGCAUGCUGGAGGCAUGAGUCCCAGACCCUGAAGAAACUUGGGGAAAGUCAGACACCAGGGAGAUCCCUCUGAGGUCCCUUUGGGGGUGCCAAGCUGCAGCUGGCUUCCAUUUGGGGGCGUUGGUGCAGGAUGCUCCCUGGGCAGAAAAGGGAGGCAGGCUCUGGGUGCACCCCAGGGGGGCGGGAGGCCCCACAGGUAAAGCAACACCCAGAGCACGGCCUAGUGAAGUGGGGUGCUAUUGCCACCGUGGAGCACCCCUGUAAUCCCAGCGGCUUGGGAGGCUGAGGCGGGAGGAUCACAAGUUGAAUGUCAGCCUCAGCAA
Molecule: non-coding RNA, 2793 nt
Organism: Marmota flaviventris (yellow-bellied marmot)
Lineage: Eukaryota; Metazoa; Chordata; Mammalia; Rodentia; Sciuridae
Source: RefSeq, a predicted model, not a curated record